UGCAUUUAUUAGAUAAAAACCAAUGCAUGCUUUUAUAGUAUGAAUGUUGGUGAUUUACAAUAACUUAGCAAAUCGCAUAGUGUAAACAGGCGAUAAAUCAUUCAAGUUUCUGACCUAUCAGCUUUCGACGGUAUGGUAUUGGCUUACCGUGGCAGUGACGGUUAACGGGGGAUUAGGGUUCGAUUCCGGAGAGGGAGCCUGAGAAACGGCUACCACAUCUAAGGAAGGCAGCAGGCGCGCAAAUUACCCAAUUCUAACAGCAUAAGAGAGGUAGUGACAAGAAAUAACAGUACAAGGCAGUUAAAAUGCUUUGUAAUUGGAAUGAUAGAAAUUUAAACACUUUUUAGAGUAUCAAUUGGAGGGCAAGUCUGGUGCCAGCAGCCGCGGUAAUUCCAGCUCCAAUAGCGUAUAUUAAAAUUGUUGCAGUUAAAAAGCUCGUAGUUGAAUUUCUGUUAAAAAUAACCGGUCUGCUUUUAAUAAAAGUAGUAUCUUGGUGUGUUUUUAGCAAUAAUGUCCUUUGAAAUGUUUUUUACUUUAUUGUAAUAAAUUAUAUUCAGGAUUUUUACUUUGAGAAAAUUAGAGUGUUUCUAGCAGGCUAAUGCUUUGAAUACUGCAGCAUG
RNAcentral lists this ribosomal RNA (620 nucleotides) under Hepatozoon sp. Its description in RNAcentral is "SSU rRNA". It matches the Rfam family "Eukaryotic small subunit ribosomal RNA", at positions 202 to 811 of the family's 1831-position model. The record is from RNAcentral. Lineage: Eukaryota; Apicomplexa; Hepatozoidae.